CCCACUGCCCAGACACGGCAUCUCCUCCUUCUUCAGAGAGUCUUGUCACAUGAGGGAGCACAUGCUCUUCCGUUAGAAUGGGAGCCCCACUGGAAAGGCCUCUGUCUCCAUGCCAAGCUGCUACAACACUACCGACCACAUUUCCUCUGCUGCAUGUGACAGCCCCGCGACUUAUUUCUGGAAUGACUGGAAGUGUCGCUACUCUCCAGCCUCAUGCAGAGCCUGGAACCCCAACACCAUGGCUCUCUCACGUCUGCUAACUGGUGUCUACCCUGCUCUCGUUAAUUUUGCACCAACAUGUAAUGAAGCACCUUUCCCCACAAGGGAAAUCUACCAAGUCCAAGUUCCUGACCUUAGCAUGCCCAAGCGUCUCUCCAUCAUCACUGACCUGGGGCCCUGGGGCGCAUGGUCCUCAGAGACCCCCUUCCCUGGCUGCCCAGGGAUGCAUGCUAAUCUUCCCAGCCCUCUGUCUGUGCUCCUGGUGGUUCUGGAGAUCGCUUCCUAUAAAUCCCGGAGCCAGA
Suricata suricatta (meerkat) is the source of this 521-nucleotide long non-coding RNA. RefSeq lists it as uncharacterized. Lineage: Eukaryota; Metazoa; Chordata; Mammalia; Carnivora; Herpestidae. The record is from RefSeq and is a predicted model, not a curated record. The transcript is spliced from 3 exons.